UCCCGAACACAGCCGUUAAGCCCUUCAGCGCUGAUGGUACUGGGACGUGAAGUCCUGGGAGAGUAGGUCGCUGCGACUC
This 79-nucleotide ribosomal RNA is filed under the name Anoxynatronum buryatiense. The record is from RNAcentral. Lineage: Bacteria; Bacillati; Bacillota; Clostridia; Eubacteriales; Clostridiaceae.